This 254-nucleotide ribosomal RNA is filed under the name uncultured bacterium. RNAcentral's name for it is "partial 16S ribosomal RNA". It matches the Rfam family "Bacterial small subunit ribosomal RNA", at positions 524 to 777 of the family's 1533-position model. The record is from RNAcentral.
UACGUAGGGCGCAAGCGUUAUCCGGAAUUAUUGGGCGUAAAGAGCUCGUAGGCGGUUUGUCGCGUCUGCCGUGAAAGUCCGGGGCUCAACUCCGGAUCUGCGGUGGGUACGGGCAGACUAGAGUGAUGUAGGGGAGACUGGAAUUCCUGGUGUAGCGGUGAAAUGCGCAGAUAUCAGGAGGAACACCGAUGGCGAAGGCAGGUCUCUGGGCAUUAACUGACGCUGAGGGGCGAAAGCAUGGGGAGCGAACGAGG